This is a long non-coding RNA of Labrus mixtus (cuckoo wrasse), 605 nucleotides long. RefSeq lists it as uncharacterized. NCBI's taxonomy places the organism in Eukaryota, Metazoa, Chordata, Actinopteri, Labriformes, Labridae. The record is from RefSeq and is a predicted model, not a curated record. The transcript has 3 exons.
CGCAGUAAUGCUAUCUGUGCAAAGGGGGGAGGACUCAGACCCUAAACAGGAUGCUGACGCUCUCAACUUCAAUAAAUCCUAGAGAAGGACAAAGCAACUUCCCACAGAUACUCUACAGACAGAAAAGCAGCAAGUCAAAAACCCUCAAAAGAGCAACAAUAACUCAAGGUGGACGCCCUGUUUAUGUAUAUUUUUUGGAGGAGAGCCCUUGAAUAAUGGCCUCGAUAUAAUGGAGCCUGAACUCCCAGCAGAAGAGGGCUUUGGACUGCAAAUACCGCGGAGCACACACAGAGGCAAUCCACUUCCUCAAGGAUCGGGCCCUGCAGUCUGGAUCCACAAAGAGGCACCAAAGUAAUGGCUUCCUUAUGGGCUCCCGACGCAAGACUGAUGGGCUGACAGAAGGAGACAGGGAUCAGGGGGAGCUGAAGCUUCAAAUCCCUACAGGGGAAGUGAUUCUCGGUACAACAGGCCGUCUACUGAAGUCACCUCCUCACCUGUCAAAGGAGUGAAACUGCAUGGGCAGCAUGGCCUGGGCCUGGGCCUUGGCAGCAGGGUCUUGGUAGGUCACGGCCUCCAACCCAGCCUCCAGGCCCUCCACUGGAGCU